RNAcentral lists this non-coding RNA (29 nucleotides) under Mus musculus (house mouse). Lineage: Eukaryota; Metazoa; Chordata; Mammalia; Rodentia; Muridae. The record is from RNAcentral.
UGACAAUGAGAGCAUCGUGUAGAAAUGGA